GGGCUCUGACCUGAGACCUCUGGGUUCUGAGCUGUGAUGUCGCUUCUGAGCUGGGAUCUCCGGGGUCUUGGUUCAGGGUCG
This 81-nucleotide microRNA precursor is filed under the name Loxodonta africana (African savanna elephant). RNAcentral's name for it is "mir-769 microRNA precursor family". It matches the Rfam family "mir-769 microRNA precursor family". The record is from Rfam by way of RNAcentral. Lineage: Eukaryota; Metazoa; Chordata; Mammalia; Proboscidea; Elephantidae.